Molecule: ribosomal RNA, 581 nt
Filed under: Jannaschia sp. ZJ1002B12
Lineage: Bacteria; Pseudomonadati; Pseudomonadota; Alphaproteobacteria; Rhodobacterales; Roseobacteraceae
Description: bacterial SSU rRNA
Rfam family: Bacterial small subunit ribosomal RNA
Source: RNAcentral
CCUACGGGAGGCAGCAGUGGGGAAUCUUAGACAAUGGGCGCAAGCCUGAUCUAGCCAUGCCGCGUGAGUGAUGAAGGCCCUAGGGUCGUAAAGCUCUUUCGCCAGAGAUGAUAAUGACAGUAUCUGGUAAAGAAACCCCGGCUAACUCCGUGCCAGCAGCCGCGGUAAUACGGAGGGGGUUAGCGUUGUUCGGAAUUACUGGGCGUAAAGCGCGCGUAGGCGGACUAUUAAGUUAGAGGUGAAAUCCCAGGGCUCAACCCUGGAACUGCCUUUAAUACUGGUAGUCUUGAGUUCGAGAGAGGUGAGUGGAAUUCCAAGUGUAGAGGUGAAAUUCGUAGAUAUUUGGAGGAACACCAGUGGCGAAGGCGGCUCACUGGCUCGAUACUGACGCUGAGGUGCGAAAGUGUGGGGAGCAAACAGGAUUAGAUACCCUGGUAGUCCACACCGUAAACGAUGAAUGCCAGUCGUCGGGUAGCAUGCUGCUCGGUGACACACCUAACGGAUUAAGCAUUCCGCCUGGGGAGUACGGUCGCAAGAUUAAAACUCAAAGGAAUGACGGAAUCGUCGACCCGCAGGCCCCC